GUGAGGUUUGCGCCCUCCUGUCAUACAGCACAUCGUGGACAAGUCUGCGGAGCUUAAGGCUCCUUCAAACAGUGUGGACAGUGCCGCUUGAAGCCGGUGUUCUCUGAAUGACUGAAGCCAGCCGCCACUCACAACUACACUGCCAGAGGGAUGGAAGAUGGAGAGACAUGGCGGACCAGAGAAAAGAAGCACAGAAGGAGAAGACAAGGACAAAGUCAAAGUUCAAGCGGCAUCUGUCCAGGAUCACCCAGAAAAGUAAGGGGAAUUAUAAAGUUAGCCUUGGACUGUCGACUUAAGUUGCUAACAUUACUGUUAGCUUGCUGUCAUCAAUAUUCUGAUGAAUAAGGGGUUGAAUGCAACAGAGCCGGGAAUCCCUGAAUCUGUCAAUCAUUAACU
Molecule: long non-coding RNA, 396 nt
Organism: Notolabrus celidotus (New Zealand spotty)
Lineage: Eukaryota; Metazoa; Chordata; Actinopteri; Labriformes; Labridae
Exons: 3
Source: RefSeq, a predicted model, not a curated record